RNAcentral lists this microRNA precursor (120 nucleotides) under Pelobates cultripes (western spadefoot toad). Lineage: Eukaryota; Metazoa; Chordata; Amphibia; Anura; Pelobatidae. The record is from RNAcentral.
UGACAGAGUUAGGGAGGGAGUGACUAGUGACAGAGAGAGGGAUGGGGUGACUGUCACUAGACAGUCAUCCCCUCCCUCCCUCCCUCUGUCACUAGUCACUCCCUCCCUCUGUUACUAGUC